RNAcentral lists this ribosomal RNA (847 nucleotides) under human gut metagenome. RNAcentral's name for it is "bacterial SSU rRNA". It matches the Rfam family "Bacterial small subunit ribosomal RNA", at positions 27 to 896 of the family's 1533-position model. The record is from RNAcentral.
GGAUGAACGCUGGCGGCGCGCCUAACACAUGCAAGUCGAACGGCACCCCUCUCCGGAGGGAAGCGAGUGGCGAACGGCUGAGUAACACGUGGAGAACCUGCCCCCUCCCCCGGGAUAGCCGCCCGAAAGGACGGGUAAUACCGGAUACCCCGGGGUGCCGCAUGGCACCCCGGCUAAAGCCCCGACGGGAGGGGAUGGCUCCGCGGCCCAUCAGGUAGACGGCGGGGUGACGGCCCACCGUGCCGACAACGGGUAGCCGGGUUGAGAGACCGACCGGCCAGAUUGGGACUGAGACACGGCCCAGACUCCUACGGGAGGCAGCAGUGGGGAAUCUUGCGCAAUGGGGGGAACCCUGACGCAGCGACGCCGCGUGCGGGACGGAGGCCUUCGGGUCGUAAACCGCUUUCAGCAGGGAAGAGUCAAGACUGUACCUGCAGAAGAAGCCCCGGCUAACUACGUGCCAGCAGCCGCGGUAAUACGUAGGGGGCGAGCGUUAUCCGGAUUCAUUGGGCGUAAAGCGCGCGUAGGCGGCCCGGCAGGCCGGGGGUCGAAGCGGGGGGCUCAACCCCCCGAAGCCCCCGGAACCUCCGCGGCUUGGGUCCGGUAGGGGAGGGUGGAACACCCGGUGUAGCGGUGGAAUGCGCAGAUAUCGGGUGGAACACCGGUGGCGAAGGCGGCCCUCUGGGCCGAGACCGACGCUGAGGCGCGAAAGCUGGGGGAGCGAACAGGAUUAGAUACCCUGGUAGUCCCAGCCGUAAACGAUGGACGCUAGGUGUGGGGGGACGAUCCCCCCGUGCCGCAGCCAACGCAUUAAGCGUCCCGCCUGGGGAGUACGGCCGCAAGGCUA